Long non-coding RNA from Agrilus planipennis (emerald ash borer), 557 nucleotides. RefSeq lists it as uncharacterized. The transcript is spliced from 4 exons. NCBI's taxonomy places the organism in Eukaryota, Metazoa, Arthropoda, Insecta, Coleoptera, Buprestidae. The record is from RefSeq and is a predicted model, not a curated record.
AUAAAUUGUAUUCUUAUUAGGCAAACUUAUACCAGUGGCAAACACAGUGUUUGAUCUACAAAUACCUAGAAAAUUGAAGGACGUAAUAAAUAAUGUCCCCAACGCUCUAGGUUUUGAUAAUAAUUUCUGCGUUUACAAAGGCACUCGUCAAAGUUUAGGUUUUGUUUCGAGAGUAGAACAUCCCCAAAGUGGAAGAGUUCUAGAAACCUACAGUGAUCAACCUGGUGUACAAUUUUACACCGGAAACGCCAUACCCGAACAUACAGGUAAAGGCGGAAAUAAAUAUGGGAAACAUUCUGCGUUCUGUUUGGAAACCCAAAUUUGGCCUGAUGCCAUUCAUCACGAUAAUUUUCCAAAUGUUGUUCUUAACCCUGGUGACCAAUAUCGUCACGUCUGCGUUUAUAAAUUCUUGGUAAAAGCGUGAUCAGAAUAAAACAAUUUCGGUAAGAAAAAUGUUUACGGUUAUACAAUGUAUUACACUGACAUAAAUACAUAUCUUACUACGUUUGCUGUAUGAGAUAUUAUAAAAUUGUAAUUAAUAUAUGUUUGAAAAAGGA